This 158-nucleotide ribosomal RNA is filed under the name Alternaria senecionicola. RNAcentral describes it as "5.8S ribosomal RNA". It matches the Rfam family "5.8S ribosomal RNA". From Rfam's summary of the family: 5.8S ribosomal RNA (5.8S rRNA) is a component of the large subunit of the eukaryotic ribosome. The record is from RNAcentral. Lineage: Eukaryota; Fungi; Ascomycota; Dothideomycetes; Pleosporales; Pleosporaceae.
CAACUUUCAACAACGGAUCUCUUGGUUCUGGCAUCGAUGAAGAACGCAGCGAAAUACGAUAAGUAGUGUGAAUUGCAGAAUUCAGUCAAUCAUCCAAUCUUUGAACGCACUUUGCGCCCUUUGCGAUUCCAAAGGCCAUCCUUGUCCGAGCCACAUUU